UCUUGGGUUGUAAACCUCUUUUCUUAGGGAAGAAAAAAAUGACGGUACCUAAGGAAUAAGCAUCGGCUAACUCCGUGCCAGCAGCCGCGGUAAUACGGAGGAUGCAAGCGUUAUCCGGAAUGAUUGGGCGUAAAGCGUCCGCAGGUGGUUUAUCAAGUUUGCGGUUAAAGGUUCUGGCUCAACCAGAGACAGGCCGUGAAAACUGAUAGACUAGAGUAUGGUAGGGGCAGAGGGAAUUCCCAGUGUAGCGGUGAAAUGCGUAGAGAUUGGGAAGAACACCGGUGGCGAAAGCGCUCUGCUAGGCCAAAACUGACACUGAGGGACGAAAGCUAGGGGAGCGAAUGGGAUUAGAUACCCCCAGUAGUCAA
This 368-nucleotide ribosomal RNA is filed under the name uncultured cyanobacterium. RNAcentral's name for it is "bacterial SSU rRNA". It matches the Rfam family "Bacterial small subunit ribosomal RNA", at positions 416 to 797 of the family's 1533-position model. The record is from RNAcentral. Lineage: Bacteria; Bacillati; Cyanobacteriota.